UAUAUUUCCCUGGCUCUGUUCGAAGGGCUCUUGGUUUUUUAGUAACCAAUGGCGAAAUCAUAGGCAAAGCAGAGAUGGGCAACCACCCUUGAAGAAAUCCCGUACUCCUCUGCUGCUGCCUCAUUUGUUCUUCUUUCUGAGCUGUAUAAUCAUCAGAGAAAAGGCUAAGCCCGCCGUGGCUGCAAAAACCGCCAUUGGGAGAUUUUGCCGAGCCAAGAUACGAGCUAGCUCAGAAUCUGACUUAAUUUGGAAGAGGCGGAUAUCAUCGAAGCUUCUAAUUACAAGGAUUUAGGAUUUAGGGUUUUUGUGGAAUCACUAGAGAGGUUUGUACUACAUCUGGCAAGCAUCAACAGGGGCUGUUUGCUUGUAUUGAAAUCAUCGGCAGCGUAGUUGCAGAGAGGGGCAACAACCCACAAUAAUGCCAUUUGCUUCCGGCUUGACUCACACAUAAAAUGAACGGAAGCACUUAAACUAUGCAUUUUUUAU
This 486-nucleotide long non-coding RNA is filed under the name Coffea arabica (coffee). RNAcentral's name for it is "long non-coding RNA (CARA_LNC004326)". Lineage: Eukaryota; Viridiplantae; Streptophyta; Magnoliopsida; Gentianales; Rubiaceae. The record is from RNAcentral.